GGGCCCGUAGCUCAAUGGCAGAGCGCGCGGCUCAUAACCGCUCGGUUGUCGGUUCGACUCCGGCCGGGCCCA
This 72-nucleotide transfer RNA is filed under the name Chloroflexota bacterium. RNAcentral's name for it is "Chloroflexi bacterium (freshwater metagenome) tRNA-Met". It matches the Rfam family "tRNA". From Rfam's summary of the family: Transfer RNA (tRNA) molecules are approximately 80 nucleotides in length. Their secondary structure includes four short double-helical elements and three loops (D, anti-codon, and T loops). Lineage: Bacteria; Bacillati; Chloroflexota. The record is from RNAcentral.